ACGGGGCGCAGCAGGCGCGAAACCUUUACACUGCACGCCAGUGCGAUAAGGGGACCCCGAGUGCGAGGGCAUACAGUCCUCGCUUUUCGUGACCGUAAGAAGGUCUCAGAAUAAGAGCUGGGCAAGACCGGUGCCAGCCGCCGCGGUAAUACCGGCAGCUCGAGUGAUAGCCACUAUUAUUGGGCCCUAAAGCGUCCGUAGCCGGCCACGAAGGUUCAUCGGGAAAUCCGCCAGCUCAACUGGCGGGCGUCCGGUGAAAACCACGUGGCUUGGGACCGGAAGGCUCGAGGGGUACGUCCGGGGUAGGAGUGAAAUCCCGUAAUCCUGGACGGACCACCGAUGGCGAAAGCACCUCGAGAAGACGGAUCCGACGGUGAGGGACGAAAGCUAGGGUCUCGAACCGGAUUAGAUACCCGGGUAGUCCUAGCUGUAAACGAUGCUCGCUAGGUGUGGCGUUGGCUACGAGCCAGCGCUGUGCCGUAGGGAAGCCGAGAAGCGAGCCGCCUGGGAAGUACGUCCGCAAGGAUGAAACUUAAAGGAAUUGGCGGG
RNAcentral lists this ribosomal RNA (549 nucleotides) under uncultured archaeon. Its description in RNAcentral is "bacterial SSU rRNA". It matches the Rfam family "Archaeal small subunit ribosomal RNA", at positions 325 to 872 of the family's 1478-position model. The record is from RNAcentral.